GAUGAACGCUGGCGGCGUGCUUAACACAUGCAAGUCGAACGAUGAAGCUCAGCUUGCUGGGUGGAUUAGUGGCGAACGGGUGAGUAACACGUGAGUAACCUGCCCUUAACUCUGGGAUAAGCCUGGGAAACUAGGUCUAAUACCGGAUAGGAGCGCCUACCGCAUGGUGGGUGUUGGAAAGAUUUAUCGGUUUUGGAUGGACUCGCGGCCUAUCAGCUCGUUGGUGAGGUAAUGGCUCACCAAGGCGACGACGGGUAGCCGGCCUGAGAGGGUGACCGGCCACACUGGGACUGAGACACAGCCCAGACUCCUACGGGAGGCAGCAGUGGGGAAUAUUGCACAAUGGGCGAAAGCCUGAUGCAGCGACGCCGCGUGAGGGAUGACGGCCUUCGGGUUGUAAACCUCUUUCAGUAGGGAAGAAGCGAAAGUGACGGUACCUGCAGAAGAAGCACCGGCUAACUACGUG
Molecule: ribosomal RNA, 466 nt
Filed under: uncultured bacterium
Lineage: Bacteria
Description: partial 16S ribosomal RNA
Rfam family: Bacterial small subunit ribosomal RNA
Source: RNAcentral